This 682-nucleotide long non-coding RNA is filed under the name Strigops habroptila (Kakapo). RNAcentral's name for it is "lncRNA (ENSSHBG00005008966.1)". Lineage: Eukaryota; Metazoa; Chordata; Aves; Psittaciformes; Psittacidae. The record is from RNAcentral.
GGCAGCUCCGAUCUUGCAGAAACGCCUGAAACUGUUUCAGACCAAGGUUGUGCCCAUAUUACUUCCAACUCAGUCUUGUUGGUCCAGAGCUGAAAGCUAAGGAAGGAGUAGCUGCCACUGAAAGGCUGCAGCCUUCACCCUAGAAGAGGAAUGUACAACAUGCGAUCUUAACACACGAGUCUCCCCAGUGAGGAGAUUAUUAGAGUCUCUCUGCAGCAGGAGAUUAACUCUCCCAGCAAGGUGGGCACUGACAUCACCCUCGGCCUCCUGCCAGCAAUCUGCCCCAGCCUCAGCAUCCCCAGCACGAGCAGAGCCGCACCAACCGCUUGCAGCCUUGAGGACAGCUGGCCUUGCAGAGCCCUGACUAAGACAGGAAGCAAACUCAGAAACACUAGAUGGGAAUCAUGCAGAAAUCUGGGCACGUAAGUGCUGUAACAAAUAAGUGUGUGUAUAGGUCAGGGUACAAGCUGCUUUCUGCUUGUAAUCUAGACAAGCUACACAUUAGAAUUACUGCUUAGAAUAAGCAUUGCAGCUCUGCAGAAACUAUUCUACAUUGCUUAGGUAUUAAUAUUCCCAUCAGUCACAUUAGUAAAACCUUUCCUCAUAUUAACAGAAAUUUUUUCGUAGUAACCAAAUCAGUUGACUUCUAUUUUUUUAAUAAACUUUUUCCCUAUGUAACCUG